Vault RNA from Laticauda laticaudata (blue-ringed sea krait), 100 nucleotides. Its record names the gene Vault. It matches the Rfam family "Vault RNA". Rfam says of the family: This family of RNAs are found as part of the enigmatic vault ribonucleoprotein complex. NCBI's taxonomy places the organism in Eukaryota, Metazoa, Chordata, Lepidosauria, Squamata, Elapidae. The record is from Ensembl.
GAGCCAGCUUAGCCUAGCGGUUUCUUCGCAAUCCUAGUAAUUGUUAUCCAGCUGCUACUUGCUAGCAGUUCAAGUCCCGUGGGCGCUGCCUGGCUUUUUG